GCUCUAGGCGAAGACCGCGGCCCCGUCCCCGCGCCUCCACCGCCUUCUUCCAGGAGGAGGGGCCGUGCGGCGCCUGCCCGGGGGCCCUCAGGCCGCAGGCGGGCGCGAGCUUCAGGGAACUUAGGGGGCUCCCGCCUCCCCGGCCACGCGAGCGGGAACAGUCUCCUCCACUCGGAGCGAUUAUAGAUCCAGACUCCUGUGCCUGACCACUGCCCAUGGCCAACUCUCUGCUGAUGACUGGACUUGACUACACAAGUUGUUGGCCAUCUUAAAACCACUCAAAGUUGACGGUCUCCUCUCCUGCCUCCUGCGGCUUCCAUUACCAUGGCAGAGACUGUGGUGUCUGAGGUGGUGUAGCGUACUGAAGCAAGGCUGUCUUGAAGAAGAGGAGACAACUCACAAUUCUACCACCUUUGUUGACCUCUUCUUCCCCCCAACUUAUUGCUGUAGAGGCUACCUGAGCUCAUUGUCCCUGGAGAUGGACCAAAUAGAAGAAUAAGCAGUGCCUGUGUGCUGAAGGUAAAGAAAUUUCAUGUGGUGGAUUCCUACAAAAGAAAAAGCUGCAAAAGAGUCAACCAGGAAAGGUGCUAGACACACAUCCAAUGGCUGCUGAGUGAUGAAUGAGAAAGAAACCUUCGGUGUAGUAAGCCAUUGAAAUUUGGGGGAAAUUUGUAAUAGCUGUUGCUGUAAACCUCCGCACUGCAAAACACACACAUCCUAGAUAAUUAAAAGACAACUUCUACCAGAUGUUGAAGGGCACAUCAUUCCAAUCUUAUGUAAAUUAUUCCAGAGAAUAGACAAAGAGGAACUAUUCCUCCAACAGAUUUUAGGAAGCCAAAAUAACCUUAAUACCAA
This 855-nucleotide long non-coding RNA is filed under the name Homo sapiens (human). RNAcentral's name for it is "non-protein coding LINC00271:23". The record is from RNAcentral. Lineage: Eukaryota; Metazoa; Chordata; Mammalia; Primates; Hominidae.